This is a long non-coding RNA of Pipra filicauda (Wire-tailed manakin), 1036 nucleotides long. RefSeq lists it as uncharacterized. NCBI's taxonomy places the organism in Eukaryota, Metazoa, Chordata, Aves, Passeriformes, Pipridae. The transcript has 5 exons. The record is from RefSeq and is a predicted model, not a curated record.
AACUACCCGUAGUUGUGAUCAAAAGUACACCUGUAGCUCAAAGUUUCUGGAACACCUCAGUUACAGAAUUUGUCUCCGAGUCCCAAUUCUCAUGCUCAUUCACUCUCUUUCCAUUCUAGCUGUUUACUGGAGUGCUCUUACCACAUUUUAUCUCAUCUAAUUCCCUCUCCCAGUCUCUGUAGUUGUGCACUCACCAGUUUUUGGACCUUUUCAAGAUCCAGGUGGACAAAACCAUGAGAAAUCUGAUCCGAAUUCUGGGCUGACCCUGCUUUGAGCCAGAGACUGGACUAUAGAGCCAGCCUGAGAGAUCCCACAACUCUCUGAGGGCAUUGCCGGACCUCUGUUCUACAGCUCUAGUGCAUAUGUGAAGAGUGAUAAAGGUGAUCAGGCUUAUGGAGCAGUUUCUGUGUGAUAAAAGAAGUUUGACAAUCUUCAGCCUGGAGUGGAAUCAACUGACGGAGAAUUUGAUAGAGAUCUACAGGACUGGGAAUGACAUGAAAAGGGUGUUAAGUAAGUUAUGGAACUCCAUUUCAGAGGUCAUUAAGGGUGCUGGAAGUUGACACAGAUUCAAAAGUGAACCAAGGAAGGAGACUCUAUUCAAAGUUAUUGAAUAAAAACAUGCCAACUCUGGGUCAGAAAAUCUCUUAGCCAUAAAUGAGUGGAAGCUGGAAAGUAUAAAUAAGGUACUGUCCAGCCUGGGCACUUGGACUCGCCUCUUGUGCCAGAUGCUUGUUCAGCUACUUGUUCCAGCCUGUAAAAAAACCUGAACACAAAUUGGCAGAAUCUGUGCAGCAAGGCUCUGAAAAUCAUCUCCAAUGAUCCAGAAAGCUUCAUAGCAAGCAGAAGAAGUCCUGCUCCUUGUCACUGUGAUUAUGGAGACGCAGGAAGCAGGUAUCCAUGUAUGGCACAGCCUAACGAAGUGAGUAACGAUCCCAUGCUGACUGACAUAUCUGUCUGGAGAACAAGGAGUGUAGCAGAGCUGAUCCUGCAGCACCCCUGUUAUCUAGGGCACAGACCUUGGAUAUUCAGGGGAAAC